Molecule: long non-coding RNA, 581 nt
Organism: Lycium barbarum (goji berry)
Lineage: Eukaryota; Viridiplantae; Streptophyta; Magnoliopsida; Solanales; Solanaceae
Exons: 2
Source: RefSeq, a predicted model, not a curated record
UUUCCAUCUGAUUUGUAUCAUUCAAUAAAUUUUACUUUGUUCAUUUCUCUUUCAUUUUGCUCUAAACAAGCAUGAACUAAAAUUAUGUCCGUUGAAUUUUAUAGAGGGACAAGUGGCAAUAUUAUUUUGUUAUGGGUUUAUAGAAAGUACAGCUCUGCCUUAUAAUGAAAAGACUUAUUGUAGUUGACGUCGUUUCUCCUACCAAUUAAGAUCUAACAAGCACAUAUGCAAUGCAAUAAAAAAUUCUCGUGAAAUAGACUCAAGAAAUGAAGAGUUAAAGCUCAUUUCUCUCUGCCGCACGCUCUCUUAUCAAGUGAUAUUUGGUCAACUCGAGUUAGGAGCUUUUGGUACAGGUUGAUGAUAAGUAAGAAAUUAAAUUUGAUUCCGCGACAUGAUGCAUAAUUGAUUUUUUCUUUUUGUCUUUUCAUUUUGUUUCGUGCUUCCUUUAAUUUUUAGUAACUUUUGAAAUUGCUAUAUGAGAGAUAUGAAAAAAUAUUAUCCUUGUAAAACAUUAGUUUCAAAUUCACAUAUGUACAAAUUGAAAAGAGUUUUUUCAUAUUAAUGCUUCUUAUUGAUUCUUU